UAACCUGCCCAAGAGAUCGGGAUAACACCUGGAAACAGAUGCUAAUACCGGAUAACAACAGAUGAUGCCUAUCAACUGUUUAAAAGAUGGUUCUGCUAUCACUCUUGGAUGGACCUGCGGUGCAUUAGCUAGUUUGUAGGGUAACGGCCUACCAAGGCGAUGAUGCAUAGCCGAGUUGAGANACUGAUCGGCCACAUUGGGACUGAGACACGGCCCAAACUCCUACGGGAGGCAGCAGUC
Molecule: ribosomal RNA, 240 nt
Filed under: uncultured Lactobacillus sp.
Lineage: Bacteria; Bacillati; Bacillota; Bacilli; Lactobacillales; Lactobacillaceae
Description: partial 16S ribosomal RNA
Rfam family: Bacterial small subunit ribosomal RNA
Source: RNAcentral